GAAUGCUGACAUAAGUAACGAUAAAGCGGGUGAAAAGCCCGCUCGCCGGAAGACCAAGGGUUCCUGUCCAACGUUAAUCGGGGCAGGGUGAGUCGACCCCUAAGGCGAGGCCGAAAGGCGUAGUCGAUGGGAAACGGGUUAAUAUUCCCGUACUUGGUGUUACUGCGAAGGGGGGACGGAGAAGGCUAUGUUGGCCGGGCGACGGUUGUCCCGGUUUAAGCGUGUAGGUGUGUGUUCCAGGUAAAUCCGGUUCACUUUAACACUGAGGCGUGACGACGAGGCACUACGGUGCUGAAGCAACAAAUGCCCUGCUUCCAGGAAAAGCCUCUAAGCAUCAGGUAACAUCAAAUCGUACCCCAAACCGACACAGGUGGUCAGGUAGAGAAUACCAAGGCGCUUGAGAGAACUCGGGUGAAGGAACUAGGCAAAAUGGUGCCGUAACUUCGGGAGAAGGCACGCUGACACGUAGGUGAAGUGAUUUACUCAUGGAGCUGAAGUCAGUCGAAGAUACCAGCUGGCUGCAACUGUUUAUUAAAAACACAGCACUGUGCAAACACGAAAGUGGACGUAUACGGUGUGACGCCUGCCCGGUGCCGGAAGGUUAAUUGAUGGGGUCAGCGCAAGCGAAGCUCCUGAUCGAAGCCCCGGUAAACGGCGGCCGUAACUAUAACGGUCCUAAGGUAGCGAAAUUCCUUGUCGGGUAAGUUCCGACCUGCACGAAUGGCGUAAUGAUGGCCAGGCUGUCUCCACCCGAGACUCAGUGAAAUUGAACUCGCUGUGAAGAUGCAGUGUACCCGCGGCAAGACGGAAAGACCCCGUGAACCUUUACUAUAGCUUGACACUGAACAUUGAGCCUUGAUGUGUAGGAUAGGUGGGAGGCUUUGAAGUGUGGACGCCAGUCUGCAUGGAGCCGACCUUGAAAUACCACCCUUUAAUGUUUGAUGUUCUAACGUGGACCCGUUACCCGGGUUGCGGACAGUGUCUGGUGGGUAGUUUGACUGGGGCGGUCUCCUCCUAAAGAGUAACGGAGGAGCACGAAGGUUGGCUAAUCCUGGUCGGACAUCAGGAGGUUAGUGCAAUGGCAUAAGCCAGCUUGACUGCGAGCGUGACGGCGCGAGCAGGUGCGAAAGCAGGUCAUAGUGAUCCGGUGGUUCUGAAUGGAAGGGCCAUCGCU
This 1174-nucleotide ribosomal RNA is filed under the name Salmonella enterica. RNAcentral describes it as "partial 23S ribosomal RNA". It matches the Rfam family "Bacterial large subunit ribosomal RNA", at positions 1292 to 2449 of the family's 2925-position model. The record is from RNAcentral. RNAcentral also lists the same sequence under 1 other name. Lineage: Bacteria; Pseudomonadati; Pseudomonadota; Gammaproteobacteria; Enterobacterales; Enterobacteriaceae.